AGCGAACGCUGGCGGCAGGCUUAACACAUGCAAGUCGAGCGGGCGUAGCAAUACGUCAGCGGCAGACGGGUGAGUAACGCGUGGGAACAUACCUUUUGGUUCGGAACAACACAGGGAAACUUGUGCUAAUACCGGAUAAGCCCUUACGGGGAAAGAUUUAUCGCCGAAAGAUUGGCCCGCGUCUGAUUAGCUAGUUGGUGAGGUAAUGGCUCACCAAGGCGACGAUCAGUAGCUGGUCUGAGAGGAUGAUCAGCCACAUUGGGACUGAGACACGGCCCAAACUCCUACGGGAGGCAGCAGUGGGGAAUAUUGGACAAUGGGCGCAAGCCUGAUCCAGCCAUGCCGCGUGAGUGAUGAAGGCCCUAGGGUUGUAAAGCUCUUUUGUGCGGGAAGAUAAUGACGGUACCGCAAGAAUAAGCCCCGGCUAACUUCGUGCCAGCAGCCGCCGCGGUAAU
Molecule: ribosomal RNA, 455 nt
Filed under: uncultured bacterium
Lineage: Bacteria
Description: bacterial SSU rRNA
Rfam family: Bacterial small subunit ribosomal RNA
Source: RNAcentral